Molecule: ribosomal RNA, 454 nt
Filed under: uncultured bacterium
Lineage: Bacteria
Description: bacterial SSU rRNA
Rfam family: Bacterial small subunit ribosomal RNA
Source: RNAcentral
UACGGGAGGAGCAGUGGGGAAUAUUGCACAAUGGGCGCAAGCCUGAUGCAGCCAUGCCGCGUGUAUGAAAAAGGCCUUCGGGUUGUAAAGUACUUUCAGUCGUGAGGAAGGUGUUAAGGUUAAUAACCUUAGCAAUUGACGUUAGCGACAGAAGAAGCACCGGCUAACUCCGUGCCAGCAGCCGCGGUAAUACGGAGGGUGCGAGCGUUAAUCGGAAUUACUGGGCGUAAAGGGCACGCAGGCGGUUAAUUAAGUUGGAUGUGAAAUCCCCGGGCUUAACCUGGGAAUGGCAUUCAAGACUGGUUAGCUAGAGUCUUGUAGAGGGGGGUAGAAUUCCAUGUGUAGCGGUGAAAUGCGUAGAGAUGUGGAGGAAUACCGGUGGCGAAAGGCGGCCCCCUGGACAAAGACUGACGCUCAUGUGCGAAAGCGUGGGGAGCAAACAGGGAUUAGAACC